UGGGGAAUAUUGCACAAUGGGCGCAAGCCUGAUGCAGCGACGCCGCGUGAGGGAUGACGGCCUUCGGGUUGUAAACCUCUGUUAGCAUCGAAGAAGCGAAAGUGACGGUAGGUGCAGAGAAAGCGCCGGCUAACUACGUGCCAGCAGCCGCGGUAAUACGUAGGGCGCGAGCGUUGUCCGGAAUUAUUGGGCGUAAAGAGCUUGUAGGCGGUUGGUCGCGUCUGCUGUGAAAGGCCGGGGCUUAACUCCGGUUUUGCAGUGGGUACGGGCUAACUAGAGUGCAGUUGGGGAGACUGGAAUUCCUGGUGUAGCGGUGGAAUGCACAGAUAUCAGGAGGAACACCGAUGGCGAAGGCAGGUCUCUGGGCUGUAACUGACGCUGAGAAGCGGAAGCAUGGGGAGCGAACAGGAUUAGAUACCCUGGUAGUCCAUGCCGUAAACGUUGGGCACUAGGUGUGGGGGACAUUCCACGUUUUCCGCGCCGUAGCUAACGCAUUAAGUGCCCCGCCUGGGGAGUACGGCCGCAAGGCUA
Molecule: ribosomal RNA, 531 nt
Filed under: uncultured bacterium
Lineage: Bacteria
Description: bacterial SSU rRNA
Rfam family: Bacterial small subunit ribosomal RNA
Source: RNAcentral